This 467-nucleotide ribosomal RNA is filed under the name uncultured bacterium. Its description in RNAcentral is "partial 16S ribosomal RNA". It matches the Rfam family "Bacterial small subunit ribosomal RNA", at positions 29 to 507 of the family's 1533-position model. The record is from RNAcentral.
ACGAACGCUGGCGGCGUGCUUAACACCUGCAAGUCGAACGGAAAGGCCCUGCUUUUGUGGGGUGCUCGAGUGGCGAACGGGUGAGUAACACGUGAGUAACCUGCCCUUGACUUUGGGAUAACUUCAGGAAACUGGGGCUAAUACCGGAUAGGAGCUCCUGCUGCAUGGUGGGGGUUGGAAAGUUUCGGCGGUUGGGGAUGGACUCGCGGCUUAUCAGCUUGUUGGUGGGGUAGUGGCUUACCAAGGCUUUGACGGGUAGCCGGCCUGAGAGGGUGACCGGCCACAUUGGGACUGAGAUACGGCCCAGACUCCUACGGGAGGCAGCAGUGGGGAAUAUUGCACAAUGGGCGGAAGCCUGAUGCAGCAACGCCGCGUGCGGGAUGACGGCCCUCGGGUUGUAACCCGCUUUCGCCUGUGACGAAGCGUGAGUGACGGUAAUGGGUAAAGAAGCACCGGCUAACUACGUG